CGCCUCUUGAACCCCAUAAGAGGUCCAGCCUGCCCAGUGACCCUGUUCAACGGCCGCGGUAUCCUAACCGUGCGAAGGUAGCGUAAUCACUUGUUCUUUAAAUGUGGACUAGUAUGAAUGGCAUCACGAAGGUUAUACUGUCUCCUUUUUCUAAUCAGUGAAACUAAUCUCCCCGUGAAGAAGCGAGGAUAAAAAUAUAAGACGAGAAGACCCUAUGGAGCUUUAAACAAAGUAGCACUCGCCACAUAAAUGAAAAAUUCCAGAAUCACCAUCUUCCUCAGGCAAUCUGACUACACGUUUUUGGUUGGGGUGACCGCGGAGUAUAACACAACCUCCAUGUUGAAAGAAAGCUUUCUAAACUAAGAGCUACACCUCUAAGUAUCAAAAGAUUGACAUCCAUUGACCCAAUAAAUUUGAACAACGAACCAAGUUACCCUAGGGAUAACAGCGCAAUCCACUUCAAGAGCUCCUAUCGACAAGUGGGUUUACGACCUCGAUGUUGGAUCAGGGUCUCCCAGUGGUGCAGCCGCUACUAAAGGUUCGUUUGUUCAACGAUUAAAACCCUACG
RNAcentral lists this ribosomal RNA (568 nucleotides) under Duttaphrynus melanostictus (Asian common toad). Its description in RNAcentral is "partial 16S ribosomal RNA". It matches the Rfam family "Bacterial large subunit ribosomal RNA", at positions 1819 to 2600 of the family's 2925-position model. The record is from RNAcentral. Lineage: Eukaryota; Metazoa; Chordata; Amphibia; Anura; Bufonidae.